UGAUGAUGAUGAGGAUGAUGAUGAUGAUGACGAUGAAAUUAUUUUUUAAAUCGGUUGUUCUGCUGCUGUAUUCAUGAAAAUCAUCAUCAUCAUCAUCAUCAUCAUCAUCAUCGUCA
RNAcentral lists this microRNA precursor (116 nucleotides) under Bigelowiella natans CCMP2755. Its description in RNAcentral is "miRNA EPrBNAG00000013653". The record is from RNAcentral. Lineage: Eukaryota; Cercozoa; Chlorarachniophyceae.